Molecule: non-coding RNA, 400 nt
Organism: Prevotella sp. CAG:1031
Lineage: Bacteria; Pseudomonadati; Bacteroidota; Bacteroidia; Bacteroidales; Prevotellaceae
Rfam family: transfer-messenger RNA
About the family: Bacterial tmRNA, also known as 10Sa RNA or SsrA, is named for its dual tRNA and mRNA-like properties. Its role is to liberate the mRNA from a stalled ribosome.
Source: Rfam
GGGGCUGACCGGUUUUGACAGCGUGUAGAGGUGGUGAGUAAGCAUGCAGAGCAAUGAUGGCUACGCUCUAUAAUCAGAGACAUCAACAAUUUUAAAUGGCGAAAACAACUACGCUCUCGCUGCCUGAUUGAAGCACAGUAGAUCAGCUUUAUCGGCGCAAUAGUUGCGCCGACGAGACAUCACCCGAUUGUCGUCGUCCCGAGACUAAUCGACAAGGUGGUGCAGUUAAAUCGGGAAUAGGCAGGUCGACGCCUCGGCCUCCUGCCGAAAAUUUAGAGGAUAAGGUGCCGUUUGGUGGCCACGGGCCGGGCGACACACGAAAACCAACUUGUGGAUAAGCAUGUAGAAAGCUCAUUAGUUCCGCGUUUGGACGAGGGUUCGAAUCCCUCCAGCUCCACUA